This is a non-coding RNA of Gossypium arboreum, 104 nucleotides long. The record is from Rfam. NCBI's taxonomy places the organism in Eukaryota, Viridiplantae, Streptophyta, Magnoliopsida, Malvales, Malvaceae.
AAUCCAUGCAUCGGACAUUUCUGAAUUAACUCCUUAAAUCAUUCUCAAGCUUCAUAUAAUGUUUACUCUAAUUGCCAAAAAGAUGUGAUCUCAUUUUCGAGCUU